CCCAGCAAAGGUGAUGGAAACUCUGAUGUUAAAACGUCCGACACUGCAGCAGGAAGCCUGUUUACAGCCUGAUGCAGAGACAGCAGCAUCUGUGUUACAGCCAGCACAGGAGUUUACUCUUCAGUUUGGGUAUGAAUGAAUGCCUUGACUUUCUGUUCCUGUCUGACACGUCCCAUGAUGGCUGCACUCAGAGCUGCCCGU
Long non-coding RNA from Archocentrus centrarchus (flier cichlid), 201 nucleotides. RefSeq lists it as uncharacterized. The record is from RefSeq and is a predicted model, not a curated record. NCBI's taxonomy places the organism in Eukaryota, Metazoa, Chordata, Actinopteri, Cichliformes, Cichlidae. The transcript has 3 exons.